Molecule: long non-coding RNA, 1638 nt
Filed under: Homo sapiens (human)
Lineage: Eukaryota; Metazoa; Chordata; Mammalia; Primates; Hominidae
Description: non-protein coding lnc-ATP5ME-1:13
Source: RNAcentral
AGUUUUUGUAGAGGAGAGCUCUUGCCAUGUUGCCCAGGCUGGUCUCGAACUCCUGGGCUCAAGCAAUCCCCUCGCCUUGGCCUCCCACAGUGCUGGAGUACGGGGCCUGGCCGUGGACUCCACUUUCUACAUAGCCUGCUAUGCGAAGCCUAAUUCACGCCAAGGGCGUGGAGUUGAUUUAGGGCUAAUUCACAUGCCCGCCCUGAGGUGCCUACUUCAUCUGGUACAGGUUGUUGGUGCCGCGGUGGUCGAUGUCAUGGCACAGGCCGGCUGUCACCAUGGCGAAGGCCUCCAGGUCCGUGUAGUAGCUCUUCAGUUUGCCGGUCUGUAGAGACAGGGCCACCUUGCUCACCGGUCCUGGCUCCAGCAGGGUGGGGAGUGGUGAGGGGUUGGGAUGACCUAGGCGUCGGGUUGGAGGUUGGACCUCCGACCACCGCAGGGCUGGGGUGCGCGGUGCACGGUGUCAGAGGGCGUUGCCCUCCUCCAUCCUUCUGCCCUGGGAGGACCCCCAUCUCAUCCCUCGGGGUGCUUGAGUGCUGCCCUUGGUACCAGGAGGGCCUGCACAACCCUGGUGAUUCUGGCAGCCACGUACCAUGAGCAGCGUGAACAUCGUCUGGGCCACGUUGAAGCCGUGGCGCCAGUUGUGGUAGGUGAUUCUCCGGUACCCUUUGCUGAUGGAGAACAGGAACCGCACCAGGACCUGGGGGAGCCGAGAGGACACAGGGCUCCGGCGGCAAGCGUGUAAGUCCCGCCAGAGCGGCACCUGUGGCUGACUUCACAGUGGAAGCCCUGCUCCGUGCCAUCAUCCCCACACCGUCUCCUGGACUUCCCGAUCUUCCCCAUCCCUGCGUUUCCCACUGGCCUCUGCUGGCCUUCCUGGGUAGGGGCUGCCACAUUGGCACCUAUGGGGUGGAGCCAGGUAGGGCAGGAGCUGAGAACAGCCCCAGCCUUCAGGGGCCGCCCAGCCUCCAUCCGACUGCCUGGCCUCAAGCUGGGAGGAGGACCCCUGGGGAUGCAGCAUAUUUUAAGAUGUUGGUUUUAGGCAUGGACAUUUGAAUGAGCAGAAUGUGUGGGCUGCAGGCUGGGGUGGGAGAACCGAUGUCCGCAGGGCAAGAGAAUGCUGGUCUCUCUUGCCCUGCGGACAUCGCCAGGAGGCUCUUCCUGCGGCCAUUGUGAUUUUUAGGGUCAGAAAAUUAUUUGGAAAUAUUUUUUAUUCUGCAAAUAUUUUCUAUACAUUUUUUCUUGAGUGUUUUCCCUUAGUAUUUAGUAAAACUUCUUUUGAAAAUGCUGGCCUGCUGCACCUGUUCUCAGAGGGGCAUGAGAAAAGAGGAUUCUCUUCCUAGGGCUGUGGGAAGCCCCUUGAGAUGUUGGAAGCAGGGCAGGGCAGGAGAACCCAGGGAGGGCACAGAGCUGUGGACGAGGGCUGGGAAAGCCAUCCCGCCUCCCCAGGGGGUCUCCGAGGAGUGCUGCUGUGGCCAAACCAGGGGGGCCACUUUGUGCUUUCUGUUUAGGUGAUGGGAUGCUUCUAUCUCCUCAGCACCCCACACCAAAUCCCCUGUUAUUGCCAGAUGAUGUGCCUAAUGAUCAAAUUGCUUGGAACUCCUAAUAAUAAAACUUUAAAUCUAUCCAUUCACCAUC